UACGGAGGGUGCGAGCGUUAAUCGGAAUUACUGGGCGUAAAGCGCACGCAGGCGGUUUUUUAAGUCGGAUGUGAAAGCCCCGGGCUCAACCUGGGAACUGCAUCCGAUACUGGAAGACUAGAAUGCGGGAGAGGGAGGUAGAAUUCCAUGUGUAGCAGUGAAAUGCGUAGAUAUAUGGAGGAAUACCAGUGGCGAAGGCGGCCUCCUGGCUCGACAUUGACGCUGAGGUGCGAAAGCGUGGGGAGCAAACGGG
RNAcentral lists this ribosomal RNA (253 nucleotides) under uncultured bacterium. RNAcentral's name for it is "partial 16S ribosomal RNA". It matches the Rfam family "Bacterial small subunit ribosomal RNA", at positions 524 to 776 of the family's 1533-position model. The record is from RNAcentral.